This is a non-coding RNA of Cupriavidus sp., 89 nucleotides long. The record is from Rfam. NCBI's taxonomy places the organism in Bacteria, Pseudomonadati, Pseudomonadota, Betaproteobacteria, Burkholderiales, Burkholderiaceae.
CGCAUCCGAGCGGGAGAGCGCGCAUGAUCUUGCGCCGCCGAAGGGGUAUCACCCGAAAACUCUCAGGCACCAUGGACCGUUCGGAUCGG